Molecule: ribosomal RNA, 253 nt
Filed under: uncultured bacterium
Lineage: Bacteria
Description: partial 16S ribosomal RNA
Rfam family: Bacterial small subunit ribosomal RNA
Source: RNAcentral
UACGAAGGGGGCUAGCGUUGCUCGGAAUGACUGGGCGUAAAGGGUGCGUAGGCGGCGCGGAAAGUAGGGUGUGAAAUCCCUCGGCUCAACCGAGGAACUGCGUCCUAAACUACCGUGCUCGAGGGAGAUAGAGGUGAGCGGAACUUAGGGUGGAGCGGUGAAAUGCGUUGAUAUCCUAAGGAACACCGGUGGCGAAAGCGGCUCACUGGAUCUCUUCUGACGCUGAGGCACGAAAGCUAGGGUAGCGAACGGG